RNAcentral lists this ribosomal RNA (477 nucleotides) under uncultured Sphingobacteriales bacterium. Its description in RNAcentral is "bacterial SSU rRNA". It matches the Rfam family "Bacterial small subunit ribosomal RNA", at positions 902 to 1382 of the family's 1533-position model. Lineage: Bacteria; Pseudomonadati; Bacteroidota; Sphingobacteriia; Sphingobacteriales. The record is from RNAcentral.
CAAAUGAAUUGACGGGGCCCGCACAAGCGGAGGAACAUGUGGUUUAAUUCGAUGAUACGCGAGGAACCUUACCUGGGCUUAAAUGUAGAGUGCAUUUUUAGAGAUAGAAAUUCCCUUCGGGGCUUUCUGCAAGGUGCUGCAUGGUUGUCGUCAGCUCGUGCCGUGAGGUGUCGGGUUAAGUCCCAUAACGAGCGCAACCCUUAUCGUUAGUUGCCAGCGGGUAAAGCCGGGGACUCUAGCGAAACUGCCGGUGUAAACCGAGAGGAAGGUGGGAUGACGUCAAAUCAGCACGGCCCUUAUGUCCAGGGCUACACACGUGUUACAAUGGCCGGUACAGAGGGCAGCUACCUGUUGACAGGAUGCGAAUCUCGAAAGCCGGUCUCAGUUCGGAUCGGAGUCUGCAACCCGACUCCGUGAAGCUGGAUUCGCUAGUAAUCGCGCAUCAGCCAUGGCGCGGUGAAUACGUUCCCGGGCCUU